AUCUUAUUGCCGACUUAUUAUGCGAGAACUGUGUAGUUUACAGCCAAAAUAAAUUCACCUUCACGAAAGCGACCACGCUAUAGGCAGGGCACUAAAGAAUCCUGUAGCAGCGACAGAAACCUUACGGUGCCACCGCGGAGCCUACCCAUCAACACGGCCGUCACCACCAGCUGGCCGGUUUAUUAUCACUCAACUCGGAGAGAGAUAACGGACGGGCCUGCAGCAGCAGUACCCAGCCGGUGGCACCUGCCCUGCACCGAGCGCCGAGCGGACGGAAAACAACGGCUGAUAAUAUUGCAGCGCGCACCCCAUCUGACGGCCGCGCCGGCCCUGCAGCUGCACUGCAGCCGCGCUCAGAGAGGGCGCGUCAGCCGACGGUGUAGCGUAGCGGGCGCCGUGGCCGCGGCCGUGCUCCGCGCCGUGCUCUAUUUUGAGUGGCGACUGCGCGCGCGCCUGCGCCGGCCGCGGCGGCGAUCGACCGACGCUCACACGACCGUGAGCCGGGCAGCGCGGAGCAGUCGUCCACCGCGCACCGUCCACCGCAAUGCUGGGAGUGACCGCCCGCCUCACCGGCCUGCCGGCCGCCGGCAGCCGGGUGUUAUCCGGAGCCCUGUCGGGCCGGCUGGCCGACCGGCCCGGGCGCCGCUCCGUACAGGAGUCGGCCCCCGACAAACCCUGUCCCAACAUGGUGCGAGGCAUCGACAACGUUCGAGAGACGCGGCUCAACAAGGGCAUGGCCUUUACGCUGGAGGAGCGCCAGCGGCUGGGCAUCCACGGCCUGCUGCCGCCCCGCUUCAAGACACAGGACGAACAGGUCGACCUGUGCCUGAAGAACAUCUCCCGCUACCAGGAGGACCUCAACAAGUUCAUCUACCUGAUGGGCCUGCAGGACCGGAAUGAGCGGCUGUUCUACCGGGUUCUCUCGGAGAACGUGGAGCAGAUGAUGCCGCUCGUAUACACGCCUACCGUCGGGCUGGCCUGCCAGAAGUUCGGCCUCAUCUACCGGCGGCCGCGAGGGCUCUUCAUCACCAUCCAUGACAAGGGACACAUCUACGACGUCAUGCGCAACUGGCCGGAGCAGGACGUCCGUGCCAUCGUGGUGACGGACGGAGAGCGUAUCCUCGGCCUGGGAGACCUGGGUGCCCAGGGUAUGGGCAUCCCGGUGGGCAAGCUCUCGCUGUACACUGCAUUGGCCGGCAUCAAACCGCAGCAGUGCUUGCCCAUCGUACUCGACGUCGGCACCAACAACAAGGAUCUGCUGAAUGACGAGUUCUACAUCGGCCUGAAGCAGAACCGAGUGACGGGCGAGGCCUACGACGAGUUUGUCGACGAAUUCAUGCAGGCCGCCGUCAGACGGUACGGCCAGAAGACGCUGAUUCAGUUCGAGGACUUCGGCAACCACAACGCGUUCCGCUUCCUGGACAAGUACCGCAACAAGUACUGCACGUUCAACGACGACAUCCAGGGCACGGCGUCGGUGGCGGUGGCCGGCCUGCUCGCUGCCAUGCGGAAGCUGAACACCAAGCUGUCCGAUCACACAUUCCUGUUCUUGGGAGCCGGAGAGGCGUCGCUCGGUAUCGCCAACCUGUGCGUGAUGGCGAUGGAGCAGGAGGGCCUCAGCUCGCAGGCCGCCCACGACAAAAUCUUCAUGGUGGACUCCCGCGGUCUGAUCGUCAAGAACCGGCCCGAGGGAGGCGUCACCGGACACAAGGUCGAUUACGCCAAGGACAUGGAGCCCAUGAAGAACCUCGGAGAUGUCGUCAAGAAGCUGAAGCCCUCGGCGUUGAUCGGUGCGGCCGCCCAGCCGCAGGCCUUCACCGCCGAGAUCCUGAAGGACAUGGGCGAGUACAACAAGGAGCCCAUCAUCUUCGCGCUGAGCAACCCGACCAGUAUGGCCGAGUGCACAGCCGAGCAGGCCUACCAGGCCACUCAGGGUCGGGCCGUGUUCGCGUCGGGCUCUCCGUUCGCCCCGGUGACCAUCAACGGCAAGACGCUGUACCCUGGCCAGGGUAACAACGCCUACAUCUUCCCGGGCGUGGCGCUCGGCGUCAUCGCCUCGGGCAUGCACCACAUCGGCGAGGACGUCUUCCUGCGAGCGGCUGAGGCGCUAGCGAAGAUGGUGACGGACCAGGAGCUGGACGUCGGCCGGCUGUACCCGCCCCUGGAGAACAUUCGGGAUGUGUCACUACAGAUCGCCGUACAGCUGGCGGAGCACGCCUACAAGACGGGCGAGGCGUCCACCUACCCCCAGCCGGCCGAUCUGAACGCCUUUGUGCGCAGUCAGCUGUACGACUAUCACUACGCUAACCCGUUAGAGCAGGUCUACCCGUGGCCGACAAGUGUCUGAGCUGGCGACGGCGCAGCGAGGGGAGGCGUCCGUGUACCCGCAUCCGGAUGACCUGCUCGCCUAUAUCGAGACGCACCGGUACGACUUCUCGUACGAGAGUCCGCUGCUGAACACGUACGAGUGGCCUAGCAGCGGCAUGGUCCAUUGAGGGAGGGGAGGGGGACUACUGUCGGCCGUAUCAGGGGGCCGUGCCGGCACAGGACGCGCCUGGCGGCCAGGGCGUCCUGUGGCUAGGGGCUUUCUUAGAUGCCGGUAGCCAUGGGCGUUCUACGGCGCCGGCAGUUAGGGGCGCCCUCAGGUGUCGGUGACAAGGGGCGUCCUCUGGUGUCGGUGGCUAAGGGCGCCCUCUUGUGCCGCUGGGUAAGGGCACCCUGUAGUGCCGGUGACCAGGGGCGCCCUCAGGAGGCCGGCAGAGACUCUGUACUGCCGUGAUUGGUGUUGUGUUCUGAACGGCGGAGUUGAGCGUUUCUGCCACGCCGCGUGGCAGCUGUCGAUGCGAAUAGGUCAUGGUCACAGUCAGUGAAUGGACGUUGUUGGUUACCCGUGUCAAGGUGGUCACUCAUAUAAUAGGGUCAGCACGGUAAAUGGCAUUUGAAGAGUCGAAGCGAAAUACAGCUAGAAACCAAAA
This 2975-nucleotide unclassified non-coding RNA is filed under the name Amphibalanus amphitrite. Its description in RNAcentral is "nADP-dependent malic enzyme-like, transcript variant X1". Lineage: Eukaryota; Metazoa; Arthropoda; Thecostraca; Balanomorpha; Balanidae. The record is from RNAcentral.